This 253-nucleotide ribosomal RNA is filed under the name uncultured bacterium. RNAcentral's name for it is "partial 16S ribosomal RNA". It matches the Rfam family "Bacterial small subunit ribosomal RNA", at positions 524 to 776 of the family's 1533-position model. The record is from RNAcentral.
UACGGAGGGUGCAAGCGUUAUCCGGAUUCACUGGGUUUAAAGGGUGCGUAGGUGGGCUGGUAAGUCAGUGGUGAAAUCUCUGAGCUUAACUCGGAAACUGCCGUUGAUACUAUUAGUCUUGAAUAUUGUGGAGGUAAGCGGAAUAUGUCAUGUAGCGGUGAAAUGCUUAGAUAUGACAUAGAACACCGAUAGCGAAGGCAGCUUGCUACACGAGGAUUGACGCUGAGGCACGAAAGCGUGGGGAGCAAACAGG